UGAUGAAACAUGCCUGGGAUAAUUAUAAGCGUUACGCAUGGGGAUUAAAUGAACUGAAACCCAUAUCUAAGCAAGGACAUUCAAGCAAUUUAUUUGGUAACAUUCAAGGAGCAACAAUAGUGGAUGCCCUUGACACACUAUACAUCAUGGAAAUGAAAGAGGAAUUCAAGGAAGCCAAGGAGUGGGUUGAAAAAAACUUAGAUUUCAAUGUGAAUGCUGAAAUUUCAGUAUUUGAAGUGAACAUCCGUUUCGUUGGUGGACUACUUUCAGCUUAUUAUCUUUCAGGAGAAGAGGU
Balearica regulorum gibbericeps (East African grey crowned-crane) is the source of this 295-nucleotide non-coding RNA. Lineage: Eukaryota; Metazoa; Chordata; Aves; Gruiformes; Gruidae. The record is from RefSeq and is a predicted model, not a curated record.